This 5614-nucleotide long non-coding RNA is filed under the name Sus scrofa (pig). RNAcentral describes it as "lncRNA (ENSSSCG00000052924.1)". Lineage: Eukaryota; Metazoa; Chordata; Mammalia; Artiodactyla; Suidae. The record is from RNAcentral.
AUCUUGACCAUGUAUUAAUAAGCAGGGGAACAAAACAUGUUUUCACAAGUUUUGAUUGAUAAAAUUGAAAGAAGCAGACAUACAAGCUCACCAAACCAGUACUUUCUUCUUCCCUCCUUUUUUGGAAAUAUUGGGGAGUGAUUGCUAAUAUCAGCAAUGCCUGACUGUGUCAUGGGCUGGAUUUCAGAGGGCUUACAACAUAAUCUUUCUGCCAAGCAUUCGAUGUUACAUCUUUAGCUUACUGUUUGGGGUCUCGUGUUUCACAAUCCAAUUCUUGACUCACUGUACGUGUGUGAGUACACUUUGUUCCAGACUGUCUGUCAGAGGAACACUUCUUCCUAAAUGAAGAAAAGUGUUUCUGGUGAAUGCCAAGACUAUAUGAGGAGUCAGAGUGCAGAGCUGCUAUUUCUUUGUUCCUGCUGGUUAAUUGCUUUAAAGACAAAAAUCAAGGGCAAGUGUGCCACUAAGAAAACCUUUUGAAGGGCACACACCACUUGUACCUUUCGUGUGAUCACAAAUUGCAUUUUGCCAACUUUUGAUCAAGGUGACAAAUCUUGGCUCAGAAAAGAAAUUUAGCGAUGUGUCAGCCCCAUCAAUAAGCUCGAAGGAAAAGUAAUUCAUUUUUAAUGGAAAUUCUGUUUACAAAAUAGACUAGGUAUAUAACCAAACUCUAAGAGGAGAUAACUCACCCUGGCAAAUGGGCUGCAUACCUAAUAGAGUAAAAUAAAAGUGAAGCAGAACACAUUGUACUUAUAGAAGUGAAGUACAUGCAACAUUUUACAGUAACUACAACAGUGAUUUUACAUCAUACAGAAGCUUCUGUGUUCAGCCUUGAUUUACAUUCAUGAAGUAGGGGGAAAGCUGGGAAAGAUGGAAAAGAUAGGGAGCAAUUAUAUUAAGUAAAAUGUUAUUCCUAUUUUUUCAAAAAUCUUUAGACUGAUACAAGUUCCUUUUGGUCCCUAGAAUUUUGGGCAUCUUUGCCAGUUUCUCUCCUCCACUGGUUUAGCUACUUUUGCUCCUUAUCAAAUGUGAUCUCAUUCCCAUUACAGAUAUUGAGUCAUUCUCUCAAUUUGUUUGAUUCUAUUCUUUAAUUUGCUUUUCACUGAAACCCUAUAGACAAGUAGGGUCAUUAGUUUUAUUCCCAACUGGCAAAUGAGAAAACCUAGGUACCAAAUGGCUCUGCUGUCUGCUGAAAAUUACAGAAAUAAUCCAUCCAACAGCUCUGGGAACUCACUACUCCCAUUUGUCAGAAGGAAUGGAUAAAUGAUGCCACUGUUUGGCUAAAUGAACAUAAUAAGUUCCCUUUAAAAGUAUUCAACAUUUACCACAAACUCAGGAACACGGGGAAUAGAUAUAGAAACAAAAGUCUGGAAAUACAGAAACAAAAGUUCUGGAAAAUACAGUAACAAAAGUCAAAGCCUUACUAACCUACUAUAACUGAUGGGACUGGAGUAACACAAAGAGGCACACACAGGAUAACCAGUGGAUAUAUGUAAAAGAGACCACCAAACAUGUAUGAAAACAUUCCAAAGAUUUAAACAAUAAUACCAACAAGUUAUUUUAAAAAAUGGAAAAAAAAAGUGGAGGUAGGAGUUUAGGAAAGUAAGAUACCAGAUACACAUGGUACUAGAGUUCUCUUGUGGCACGGCAGGUUAAGGAUUUGGCAUUGUCACUACAGGGGCUUGGGUCCCUGCUGUGGCAUGGGUUUGAUCCCUGGCCCAGGAAAUUCCACAUGCACACAGGCUCAGCCAACAAACCAAAAAACAAACAAAAAACAAAACAAAACAAACAAAAGGUGGUGCUAAAAAUAACAUAGUUACAGGCUUCUGAAGGUCCCUCCCUCAAUGGGUCUAAGGUCUAGCAGAGAAAUAAAUAUGAAAGUGAAUAACAGUUUCAAAGCAACAUAAUUUUGUUAAUAAUAGCUAACAGUUUUUGAGCACUUCAGGCCUCCAAUUAUUAUGUGCAGUAAUUCAUUACAUUAUCAUAAUGACCCUAUGAGGUAGGGCCUAUUGCCAGUCUCACUGUAUAGGAAAGUAAACUGAAACACAGUCACCCAGAUGGUGAGCUGCAACAUUGGGAUCAGAAUUCAGCAUCAGUGGUGUAACACUUAGUCACCACUUAGUGUAACAGCAUUCUGUGUUGUCAAGGAAGGAGACUCUAUGUUAAAUCGUGUCCACUGGGGUUGACUGCAAAAAUAGCCACAAUGAUUCAUUCUCCCUACUGUCCUCGCCAUUUUUGGCUGACUUUGAAUUUCCCCCACCCCAUGAAUCAGGGCUGGCCUUGUGACUUACUUUAGCCAAUAGAACAUGGUGGGAGUAACAGAUGUGUCAGUCCUAAGCCUAGGACCCAAGAGGCCCUGCUUCUGCCUGUUUUCUUGGGAUGAUGAUGCUGCCAUGUAUGCUGGGAUAGCUUGCUGGAUCAUAUCACAUGGAACACAAUUGAGUCUGUGGGUCAGUCCCAGUCGAGCCCUCAGAGAUGUGAAAAAGUCUAUCCAAGGUCAGCAAAGUUGGCUAGGUGACCUGCAACCAAUGACAGAUCAUGAAGGAGUCUAGCAGAGAUCAUAAUUACCCAGACGAGCCCAGCCAACUGCCAACCCACAGAAUCAGGAACCAAAAAAACAGUUAUUGCUUUAAAGUAGUCUGUUACACAGAAAUAACUAAGUAAUACCUCUACCAUAUAAAAAUCUGUGAAGAUCAUGCUUAAAUUAUUUUUUUUUAUGGCUGCACCUGCAGCAUAUGGAAAUUCCCAGGCUAGAGAUUGAAUCCUAGCCACAGCUGCAACCUACACCACAGGUGCAGCAAUGCUGAAUCCUUUAACCCACUGCACCAGGCAGGGGAUCUAACUCGCACCUCCGCAGCAACCUGAGCUGCUGCAGUUGGAAUCUUAACCCUUUGCACCACAACAGGAAUUCCUUAAAUUAUUUUUAAGUCACAUAAAUGAUCUGAGAGGGGGAACAUGUCUUAGAAUUACCAAAAUAAAAAUAUUUUUGGAGGACCAAUAUGGCAAACUCUUAGGAUCUUAAAGCAGGACUAUUCUCAAAGAUACAAUUAACAUAGAGACAAAUGCCUCCACAAUCUCUGGUUAAUUACUUGAUAAGCUGCUUCUGAAAUGGCCCCCAACUUCCUUUCCAAGUCUCCUACAAAGCUGCAGUCAUGGUGUCACUGGGGUCUGUUGCCUCACCUGAAGGUCCAGCAAGGGAAGAAUCAGCUUCCAAGCCCACCACAUUAUUGUUGGCAGGAUCUGGUUCUCAAGGGCUGUUGGACUGAGGUCUUCAGUUCCUUGCCAGCUGUUGGCCAAAGGUUGCCCUCGGGUCGUUGUCACGUGGACCCCUUCCCAUGUAGCAGCUUACGACAUGAUAGUUUACUUCUUUAGAGCAAGCACACGGAAAGACACAGAGUCCACAAGAAAGAUGGAAGUCACACUUUUAUAACCUAAUCUUGAAAUUGAUAUGUCAUCACUCAUGGCAUAUUCUAUACAUUAGGAGCAAGUCACUUGGUCAAGUUCAGGCAUAGGGAAGGGCAUAAGGGUGUGGACACCAGGAUUUGUGGAUCAUUAGGAAAAACUUUAGGAGCAGCCUACCAGGUAACUAAAUUCUAUGAAAUUGUGAAGAGGUGGGUUUUCUAAUCAGGAACUUAUUCAUCCAGUUUCAAAAUUCUAGACCUCAGGAACCAACUCUUAAAACUUGGAGGAGGCCAUUUUUUUUAAUACAAAUUAUGCAGUGAUCUUAUGUUCCCAAAAGAAUAACAAAGGGUGAAACUAUAAAUAAGUUUUAAAAGGUUUAGGAAAAUUCUCAAAUGCUGGCUCGAUAAUGGAAUAUUAAAGGGGUGUGAGGAAUGUGUGCAGUGGAUCCCUAAUGUUUUCAGAGUGAUGUCAAGAAAGACAACCUUAUCUCCCUACCAAACAUCCCUCAGAGGCAGGCAAGAUGGACCAUUGACCUAAUCUGUUGUGGCAUUUCUUAUAUACUUAUGCAUAACACUAUGUGGGAAUGCAAUAAAAAUUUAAACAAGGUACUAAAGUUCAACAAAAUGGGAGGAUGGAGCUUUUGAAAAAUGGAGACAUGACAUUCCUCCAUGGUGUCUCAGACAUCUGAUGUGCCUGUGCUUUUUUAUAUUCGUUCAUCCACAGAAGCUCAUCUAAAUCAUAGAUUCAAAAGCCAUGUCUUAGUUCCUCACUAAGAACUAAGAAGAAAACAGUUUUGCAGAAUAUUACUGUUCAAGAGAGGAGGGAAAUAUUUGACUCCAUAUGACAGGACUCUCUUUUAUACCUACAUUAUGUUCAAGUGUUUAAAACAGCAAAGCCAUCUAUUUUUCCCUCAGGCAAUGUCUAAGUAGAUAUUUUAGGCAUACACUUGGGGUUUGGGGGGAUUUGUUUCCCUUGGGUUUUUAAAGAGAAGAAGGAAGGUGCGAAUAUUGAAGGCUUAUGCUUUACAAUACACAUAGUAGGGCAAGUAAGUGUUCAGUGCUAAUGCAGUAGCACUUAAUCAGAAGGUAAACAUCCCUCAGCAAAAAGAGUGAAUUUAAAAGUUUCCACAUAAGCAGUCAUACAUUUUGACAUUAUAAGAGCGGUAGCUUCUGUCAAUCAACCCAAAUUCUCUUUAAGCCUUAAACAUAUAAGUCACAUUGAAAGGGUUAUGCAUUUCACAAGUGGAUUUAUAUAUAAAUACUUUUGCUGGCUCCAGUUCAACACAACAAAAGAAGUCAAACAUUAGUCUGUAUUUGUAUUCCUUUGCUGAAGUGUUUUGACAUAAACUGCACACAAUCCUAGCUGGAAAGCAGCAGGCAGUUUGGAACUAACUGCUCCUCACACUUGCAUUCUUUGUGAUAUGAAAAUUUUUUUUCUACUUAGAAAAUUAGAAAGCUUAUGAGUGAAGUUUGCUCAAACUUAAGAACUGUUUAAAACAACAUAGCACUUCUGAACACUUUGAGUUUCGCACAAAAUUCACUUUCUACAAUGUCUCGGAAUGCCUAUAAGUAUCAAAUUCCCAAAUUCCAAGUGCACAAUAUAUAGUCAGCCUUUAUACCUUUAUACUAGACAGCACUUAAUACCUAUUAUAUCUAGAAUUCCCUCAAAACACACUUCUAUUUAUUUAACUGAUCCAGUUCUUCCAAUGCAGAGAAAAGUCAUUUAGUUGAAAGCACUAAAUAUCCACAUUACAUUGCAAAGUACUGUUGGAUACACUUAUGGAACGGAAUAACUUGAGAAAUUUUCAUAGUCAAUAUGUCUUUAUAGAGUUAGAAAAAAAUCUCAGGAGGUCAUCUGUAUUAGUCAGCUAUUCACACAACAAUGCUGAAUAACAAAGCACCCUAACACUCAUAGACUUGAAGCAACAAUCAUUUUUUCUCAUACCCAUCAGCAGCAGAGGGGCUGUUCCAGGGCCAAGACGGGUAGGACUAUAGGCUCCAGACUGCAGGAUCAACUGUAGGUGGAUCAGCAAUUGUCAGGAGCAUGUGGUCCUCAUUUCUCAUACUGAGACUCAGGCUGAAGCAGCAGUGGCUGCAUGAGGCAUCUUGUCCUCCCUGAGGAUCAUCAAAGUACAAAGAGGAAAACCCGAUCAUGCAAACACAUGCAAAGCCUUUGCAACUUAUGGUCGAGUCCAAAGUCGUUGAACUGGGAU